AGGUUUGAGGACCAGAGGAGGUUCAACUGACCAGCAGAGCCCGGUGUAUGAAAACUUUCCCUCUGCGGAGCUGAUUUACCAGAACGCCAAACCUGUCAGCAAGAACAAGAAGUAGAUCCAAGAGUGAUCCUGCAGUUUUUGGUCCUGAUAUUCUGAGCAGCUCAGUUCUGCCUGAGAUAGAAGACGAUAACCAGGGCUGGACAGGGACAGAAAAAUGGCCGACACCAGCCCCCCCCGGAUGAAGAUGAUGAAGACUAUGAAUGGAGACAAACUGUCUUUUUGAUGUAUCUGUAUUGUCUAAUAAUCUAAACCUACAGCCUCCUCCUGGUUCUGUUAUUCUAUAGAAGCACAGAAACCAGAUGUUGCUUCUUCUCCUUCACCUCAUGAACAACUUUGAAGAAGAUCCUGAUGUUUGGACGGGAGGAAUAGAAGAGACACCAGAUCAUUGAUUCUGACAGACGGUCACUGAGUGACUGUUUUUAUCACGUCAGGCUAAACAAAUGAGCAGGAAGAAUAAAGCAGUCUGUGCAGUUUACUCUCUCUCUCCUGCAAUUCUGUCUCUCUACCUUGUUUUUUUUACCGAUGCGACAAAAAGCUUCAUUAUGAAGCCCAAAGAGUCUUCAUUGUUUUUUAUUCCAAG
Cyprinodon variegatus (sheepshead minnow) is the source of this 640-nucleotide long non-coding RNA. RefSeq lists it as uncharacterized. The record is from RefSeq and is a predicted model, not a curated record. The transcript has 3 exons. Lineage: Eukaryota; Metazoa; Chordata; Actinopteri; Cyprinodontiformes; Cyprinodontidae.